UUAAGUGACUAAGCGUACAAGGUGGAUGCCUUGGCAAUCAGAGGCGAAGAAGGACGUGCUAAUCUGCGAAAAGCUUGGAUGAGUCGAUAAGAGGCGUUUAAUCCAAGAUAUCCGAAUGGGGAAACCCAGUAGAUGAAGAAUCUACUAUCAACAAGUGAAUUCAUAGCUUGUUGAGGCAAACCGGGAGAACUGAAACAUCUAAGUACCCCGAGGAAAAGAAAUCAACCGAGAUUUCGUCAGUAGCGGCGAGCGAAAGCGAAAGAGCCAGUAAGUGAUAGCAGUAUAGUGAGGAGAAUGUGUUGGGAAGCACAAUCAAAGAGGGUGAUAAUCCCGUAUCUAAAAACCAUAUUGUGGUACUAAGCUAACGAGAAGUAGGGCGGGACACGUGAUAUCCUGUUUGAAGAAGGGGGGACCAUCCUCCAAGGCUAAAUACUCCUGAUUGACCGAUAGUGAACCAGUACUGUGAAGGAAAGGCGAAAAGAACCCCGGUGAGGGGAGUGAAAUAGAACCUGAAACCUUGUACGUACAAGCAGUGGGAGCCCCAUCACUUAAUCCGAUUGGAAGGUGAUGAAAAGCAACUGCACUUAAACAAUGGUAAGAGGAGCGAAGCGAGUCAAACCACCCAAAAGAAGCAGUGGGAUUAAGUGAUGGGGUGACUGCGUACCUUUUGUAUAAUGGGUCAGCGACUUAUAUUUUGUAGCGAGGUUAACCGAAUAGGGGAGCCGAAGGGAAACCGAGUCUUAACUGGGCGAGUAGUUGCAAGGUAUAGACCCGAAACCCGGUGAUCUAGCCAUGGGCAGGUUGAAGGUUGGGUAACACUAACUGGAGGACCGAACCGACUAAUGUUGAAAAAUUAGCGGAUGACUUGUGGCUGGGGGUGAAAGGCCAAUCAAACCGGGAGAUAGCUGGUUCUCCCCGAAAUCUAUUUAGGUAGAGCCUUGAGGUGACACCUUUGGGGGUAGAGCACUGUUUCGGCUAGGGGGCCAUCCCGGCUUACCAACCCGAUGCAAACUACGAAUACCAAAGAGUGAUACUCAGGAGACACACGGCGGGUGCUAACGUCCGUCGUGGAGAGGGAAACAACCCAGACCGCCAGCUAAGGUCCCCAAGUCUAUAUUAAGUGGGAAACGAAGUGGGAAGGCUUAGACAGCUAGGAUGUUGGCUUAGAAGCAGCCAUCAUUUAAAGAAAGCGUAAUAGCUCACUAGUCGAGUCGGCCUGCGCGGAAGAUGUAACGGGGCUGAAAUAUAGCACCGAAGCUGCGGCAUCAGAAUUUAUUCUGUUGGGUAGGGGAGCGUUGUGUAAGCGGAAGAAGGUUCAUCGAGAGGUGGGCUGGACGUAUCACAAGUGCGAAUGCUGACAUAAGUAACGAUAAAACGGGUGAAAAACCCGUUCGCCGGAAGACCAAGGGUUCCUGUCCAACGUUAAUCGGGGCAGGGUGAGUCGGCUCCUAAGGCGAGGCUGAAAAGCGUAGUCGAUGGGAAACAGGUUAAUAUUCCUGUACUUGGUAAAGCUGCGAUGUGGGGACGGAGUAGGUUAGGUUAUCGCACUGUUGGAUAUGUGCGUUUAAGUUGGUAGGUGGGAAGUUUAGGCAAAUCCGGACUUCCUUAACACAGAGAGAUGAUGACGAGGCUCUACGGAGCUGAAGUAACUGAUACCACACUUCCAGGAAAAGCCACUAAGCGAAAGGCUUUACUAAACCGUACUGAAAACCGACACAGGUGGUCAGGUAGAGAAUACUCAGGCGCUUGAGAGAACUCGGGUGAAGGAACUAGGCAAAAUAGCACCGUAACUUCGGGAGAAGGUGCGCCGGCGUAGAUUGUAAGGGCUAGCCCCUGAAGGUUGAACCGGUCGAAGAUACCAGCUGGCUGCAACUGUUUAUUAAAAACACAGCACUCUGCAAACACGAAAGUGGACGUAUAGGGUGUGAUGCCUGCCCGGUGCUGGAAGGUUAAUUGAUGGUGUAAUCGAAAGAGAAGCACCUGAUCGAAGCCCCAGUAAACGGCGGCCGUAACUAUAACGGUCCUAAGGUAGCGAAAUUCCUUGUCGGGUAAGUUCCGACCUGCACGAAUGGCAUAAUGAUGGCCAGGCUGUCUCCACCCGAGACUCAGUGAAAUUGAAAUCGCCGUGAAGAUGCGGUGUACCCGCGGCUAGACGGAAAGACCCCGUGAACCUUUACUAUAGCUUGACACUGAACAUUGAAUUUUGAUGUGUAGGAUAGGUGGGAGACUUAGAAGUAGGAACGCCAGUUUCUAUGGAGUCAUCCUUGAAAUACCACCCUUUAACGUUUGAUGUUCUAACGAAGAUGACGAAACGUGGUCUCGGACAGUGUCUGGUGGGUAGUUUGACUGGGGCGGUCUCCUCCCAAAGCGUAACGGAGGAGCACGAAGGUUUGCUAAUCACGGUCGGACAUCGUGAGGUUAGUGCAAUGGUAUAAGCAAGCUUAACUGCGAGACAGACAAGUCGAGCAGGUACGAAAGUAGGUCAUAGUGAUCCGGUGGUUCUGAAUGGAAGGGCCAUCGCUCAACGGAUAAAAGGUACUCCGGGGAUAACAGGCUGAUACCGCCCAAGAGUUCAUAUCGACGGCGGUGUUUGGCACCUCGAUGUCGGCUCAUCACAUCCUGGGGCUGAAGUAGGUCCCAAGGGUAUGGCUGUUCGCCAUUUAAAGUGGUACGCGAGCUGGGUUUAGAACGUCGUGAGACAGUUCGGUCCCUAUCUGCCGUGGGCGUAGGAGAAUUGGUUGGGGCUGCUCCUAGUACGAGAGGACCGGAGUGGACGCACCACUGGUGUUCCGGUUGUGUCGCCAGACGCAUUGCCGGGUAGCUAAGUGCGGAAGAGAUAAGUGCUGAAAGCAUCUAAGCACGAAACUUGCCAAGAGAUGAGUUCUCCCAAUCUAAGAGAUUGUAAGGGUUGUUGUAGACUACGACGUAGAUAGGUCUGGUGUGUAAGUGUAGUGAUGCAUUGAGCUAACAGAUACUAAUUGCCCGAGAGGCUUAACU
RNAcentral lists this ribosomal RNA (2997 nucleotides) under Haemophilus influenzae. Its description in RNAcentral is "23S ribosomal RNA". It matches the Rfam family "Bacterial large subunit ribosomal RNA". Lineage: Bacteria; Pseudomonadati; Pseudomonadota; Gammaproteobacteria; Pasteurellales; Pasteurellaceae. The record is from RNAcentral.